Molecule: ribosomal RNA, 232 nt
Filed under: uncultured bacterium
Lineage: Bacteria
Description: partial 16S ribosomal RNA
Rfam family: Bacterial small subunit ribosomal RNA
Source: RNAcentral
UUGUUCCUACGGGGCGCAGCAGUGGGGAAUAUUGCACAAUGGGGGGAACCCUGAUGCAGCGACGCCGCGUGAAGGAAGAAGUAUCUCGGUAUGUAAACUUCUAUCAGCAGGGAAGAAAGAGGACGGUACCUGACUAAGAAGCCCCGGCUAACUACGUGCCAGCAGCCGCGGUAAUACGUAGGGGGCGAGCGUUAUCCGGAUUUACUGGGUGUAAAGGGAGCGUAGACGGCCA